UUACGUAUUCGUUCGGCUGGCCCC
This 24-nucleotide microRNA is filed under the name Triops cancriformis. Its description in RNAcentral is "tcf-miR-10347". Lineage: Eukaryota; Metazoa; Arthropoda; Branchiopoda; Notostraca; Triopsidae. The record is from miRBase by way of RNAcentral.